Molecule: long non-coding RNA, 3213 nt
Filed under: Equus caballus (horse)
Lineage: Eukaryota; Metazoa; Chordata; Mammalia; Perissodactyla; Equidae
Description: lncRNA (ENSECAG00000056751.1)
Source: RNAcentral
CGGGGUGGAAAGAUGGGGUCACGUUGGCCUCAUCUUUGUGUCUCCAGCGCACAGUAGGUCCUCAGGCCUGCCCUUGUCCAUGAAGCUUCUAAAUCUUCAAGCGUGGUGGUUGCUGUUUGAAAACACCCUAUGGCCUCAGUUUCCUCGUCUGCGAAUGGGGACGAUGACGACAAUGCCCCAGAGGGGUUGGAGGCCUGGAGGAGGGUUUCCAUGCUCCCCAGGAGCGCCCGGAACCGGAGGCCGCGCACAUGCGCUGUCCGAAGUCACGCAGCUGGAGAUGGGGCGCUGGGAUUUCAACUCGGGGCCCCUGGAUCAGGGCGGCAGGCGGGAGAGCUGGGCUGGGAAGGGAAGGCGCUGCCCAGAUGUCCCUGUGACCCAGGACCCCACUUCUCCUUUUUGCCCCGUGCAGUCAGCACACAGGAAGCCUGGCUGGGGCCUCCCUUGCCCACCCCGUCUACAGCCGGGUGGACACGGGGUCCUGGUGUCACCCGCCACCACCCCGGGCCUCCCCCUUCCUGUCUUGCGCAAGACAAGGCGUCCCCUGCGUGGAACGGGCGGGGGCUCGGCGGAUGGGGGACGGGGCAGUGGGGGCCUCUCAGGCGGGGUCACUGCCCGCUGUUACCGCCAGCAGCCCCCGCCCCUUCCUCCUCCUCCUCUGUUUCCCCAAAGUUCAGGCAGCCUUGAGCAAGAGGCUGGGGGACCCAGGAAGCUGGGGAGGCCACCUGGCCAACAUCUUGUCCCAACAGGGCCGGGCUGGGCUCGGGCCGUUAUGGAGAGUGUCCUAAACAACGCAGACAACUGUAAUAAUAAUGGCUCCUGUCUGUGGAGUGGCAUGUCUGUGCCAGGCACUUCUCGUUUACACCCCAGCAUUUGGAUCAGCUCCUGGUGUCUGCUGUGUGCUGUGCUGAGCCCGUGUGCCCUGCUGAGCCCUUAUGCACGGGUCACACUCAAUCCACGCUAAAACCUCGUGACGCAGUUUUUUAUCAUCUCUUUCUUCCGAUGAGGAAACCGAGGCUCUGAGAGGCAGAGGGACUUGCCCAAGGUCACGCAGCUCAGCCGCAUCCCAGUGAAGGUCGCUGUCUGUGUACCUGGUGGCACUGUCCUGGGAGGGGGGAGGCCCAGAAGCGAGGGCAUUCCACCUCCGGGCCUCAGUGUCCCCCAUGGACCAGCUCUGGUUCUCAGGCUUGUUUCUGGGUCAGAAGAGGCACCGCCCGCCCUCCUUGUUUCCCGUCCUCACUCCCUGCUGUGCUCUCCUUCGUGCCUGGGGUCACCUCCCACGUAAACCGCUGGCCCCCACGUCCUUGUCUUGAGUCAGCCUCGCCCCCUGAGCCAGCAGACGUCUGGCUCGGAGGUCGAGAGCUCUGGAAGCAGACAGACCUGAGUCUGAAUCCUGGCACGUGACUGACCUUGCCGUGACCUUGGGAACCCGCUGGCUCUCCAGGACCUCAGAUCUACGAAAGGGGGACGCAGAACCAGAGACCCGAGCAGUGGCGAGCUGGGCGGGGGAGUGUGCAGUGACGGGGCCUGGAGUGGGCUUCCCAGAUGCGGGACUGGCCAGCAACUCGGGCCGCCAUGUCUGAGGGCUGCUGGGGGGCGAGUAGGAGCUGGGUGGUGGGAGAGGCGGGGGAGGGGGCGAAGGGAACAGCCUGGACGGAGGUGGGGAGGAAGGACUGGCCAUGAUUCCAGGCUGUGGGGGGAGGCGGGUGGGGUGGACAGGACGGGCACCCUUGUUCCCCGCUGCUGCCCCCGCUCCGGAGGUCCAGGGAGCCCACUGGCAUUCUCAGGCGGAGCAGAGAACCGUGCGCUCACUCCUCGUGGGUGAGGCUGGGCCGGUGGAGGGCUGUGUCGCCCGGGCCUCUGCAGCUCACCACGCUGGGGCCCUCUCUCCAGAGGAUCCCUUCCCUGGUUCUGUGGUGGCAGCGGGGCGGGCAGACUGGCUGCCCCUCUUUUACCCUGGGCGGAGCCUCAAGCCCUGACCACACACCUGGGGUCUUCCGCACCACAGUGAUGGCAGCCCCCGCCACCUGGCUGCCCAGGCGCUAAACCCAGGUUUCCCUCUUCUACCCCCAGGGCUGGUCCACCAGUGAGCUCGUCCAAGCAUCCAAGGGCCUGCUGCCACUGGCCUGCCCUGGUCCAGCCCUGCCUUCUCCUGCUAGGACCCUUGCAGUGGCCUCCUCAUUGGUUUCCCUGCCUCCACUCUUGCCCUCCUAAGCCAGAGGGAUUCCCUUAGAACUCAAGACAGAUCCUGUCCAUCCUCUGCUUAGAACCCUCCAUGGCUCCCACUGCACUAGGAGCAGAAGUAGCCCACAAGGCUCAGGCGGACCGCCAGCCCCUUCAACUCCCCAGCCUCUCUAACUACAGUCCCUGCCACCAGCCCACCCACUCUCUCCUCUUUGCUGCUCAGCUGCAGCCACACUGGCCUCCUCCUUGUGCCAUGAACACACUAAUCAUCCUGCUGCCCCAGGCCAUUUGCACUUGCUCUUCCCUCUGGGAUGGAGGACACUCUUCCUGCAGCUCCUCACGUGGUUUCUUCUCUGCAGUCAGGCCUCAGCAACAAAGUCACCCCUGAGCGAAGCCCUCCCCAGUGAGCCCCUCAUUUCCGUCACCUCGGGCUGUUUUAUUUUCUUCCUGGUACUGAGAGCUUAUCCUAGAAAAUUACCCCACUUGUAAUCCUGUUUCUUGCUGUCUUCUUGCUCUGGAAUGUCGCCAUCUCUCGGGGGGGAGUUUGGUCUGCAUUGUUCAUUGCUGUACCCCCAGCCCCCAGCGCAGGGUCUGGAUGGGGCAGGUGCCCAGGAAACGCUGUAAAUGAAUGAAUGAUGGAGUGAAUGAAUUAAUACUGCUACACUUGAGGGGGCUGAGGGCCAGAGAAAGCCCCAGGGGACUCGCAGUCUAGUGCUCCUCCUCCGCACUCGCCCUGGUCUCUGCAGCAGUUUGUUGCCUGUGCAGCACAAGGAAGGAGUGCCAGGUGUGGUCCUGGGUGUGAAUCUCGCCUCCUACCCAUCUUGGCUCUUGCUGGGUCCCACGGAGGUCCCAGCGGCGGGGGGCCGAGGGGCCGAGGGGCUGAGGGGGUGGGCAGGGCGUGGUGAGGGCUGGGCACAUGGCAGCUGCUCACUGGACGGGAAGGGGCAGCAGUGGGGGCUCUGGCUGGCGGUCCCCCCUCGGCUCCGGGUCCCGUCAUUACCGCUCGCCCUGCUUGAUGGCCCGAGGGAUCUG